UACAGAGGUGGCAAGCGUUGUUCGGAAUUACUGGGCGUAAAGCGCACGUAGGCGGAUAUUUAAGUCAGGGGUGAAAUCCCGGGGCUCAACCCCGGAACUGCCUUUGAUACUGGGUAUCUGGAGGUCGAGAGAGGCGAGUGGAAUUCCGAGUGUAGAGGUGAAAUUCGUAGAUAUUCGCAAGAACACCAGUGGCGAAGGCGGCUUACUGGUCCGGUUCUGACGCUGAGGCGCGAAAGCGUGGGGAGCAAACAGG
This 253-nucleotide ribosomal RNA is filed under the name uncultured bacterium. RNAcentral's name for it is "partial 16S ribosomal RNA". It matches the Rfam family "Bacterial small subunit ribosomal RNA", at positions 524 to 776 of the family's 1533-position model. The record is from RNAcentral.